Molecule: long non-coding RNA, 144 nt
Organism: Sander lucioperca (pikeperch)
Lineage: Eukaryota; Metazoa; Chordata; Actinopteri; Perciformes; Percidae
Exons: 3
Source: RefSeq, a predicted model, not a curated record
ACUUGGAUUUUUUAGGACUUUUUAUGUUAUAGAGGAGACUUUUAUGAGACUAGAUCAGUUGAAAGAGUUUCUGUUGCAAUUUGUGUGGGGUCAUGUUGCAUAAUGCCAGAACGAUUAGUUAGAUAAAAGAAAAAAAAACGUAGU